CCCGGAGACCAGAGACUUGGUGUCGGACACGCUUUCAAUGAAACAAGAUGAGAUGAGACGAGAUUGUCCUGAUUAGUCUCUGCGGCAAAGAUAAAGACUUUCCAGGUCCUCAACUUCUCCAGACUUACACAACUGACAGUGGCCCACAGCAGAAU
Molecule: long non-coding RNA, 155 nt
Organism: Solea senegalensis (Senegalese sole)
Lineage: Eukaryota; Metazoa; Chordata; Actinopteri; Pleuronectiformes; Soleidae
Exons: 3
Source: RefSeq, a predicted model, not a curated record